GAUGAAGAACGCAGUGAAAUGCGAUAAGUAAUGUGAAUUGCAGAAUUCAGUGAAUCAUCGAAUCUUUGAACGCACAUUGCGCCCCCUGGUAUUCCGGGGGGCAUGCCUGUUCGAGCGUCAUUUCACCACUCAAGCCUCGCUUGGUAUUGGGCAACGCGGUCCGCCGCGUGCCUCAAAUCGACCGGCUGGGUCUUCUGUCCCCUAAGCGUUGUGGAAACUAUUCGCUAAAGGGUGUUCGGGAGGUUACGCCGUAAAACAACCCCAUUUCUAAGGUUGACCUCGGAUCAGGUAGGGAUACCCGCUGAACUUAAGCAUAUCAAUAAGCGGAGGA
RNAcentral lists this unclassified non-coding RNA (331 nucleotides) under soil metagenome. Its description in RNAcentral is "partial contains 5.8S ribosomal RNA, internal transcribed spacer 2, and large subunit ribosomal RNA". The stretch from base 1 to 120 matches the Rfam family "5.8S ribosomal RNA", at positions 35 to 154 of the family's 154-position model. The record is from RNAcentral.